Long non-coding RNA from Syngnathoides biaculeatus (alligator pipefish), 569 nucleotides. RefSeq lists it as uncharacterized. The record is from RefSeq and is a predicted model, not a curated record. NCBI's taxonomy places the organism in Eukaryota, Metazoa, Chordata, Actinopteri, Syngnathiformes, Syngnathidae. The transcript has 5 exons.
AACGAACGAAACGUUACUUUUAACAAUUAAGUACACUUUCCGACACAAUUCUGAGAUAAUGUACAUUCUGAAUUUUUUUUCGCGUUCCAAAAAAAAGUCGCCUGUACAAUGAAGCCCGCUUCUUUUUAAUUAAGUGCUAGCCACCAGCUGUCGAUGCUAACGUUAAUUGCGUCGAAGUGACUUGGCUCCGCCGCGGCUUUGUUAUUAAUUUCGUUUUUAACUCAACAAAAGAAGGCAUAGCAGCUGGAAGACUACAAGGACCGUUGAAGCUUCGAUGCACCCCCCCACCCCCACUGAGGCAACCUGCAGGAAGUGAGUAAUUUCUGCCAGCUUGUUCUACUUGGAUGAAGUCCCAGGCUGUGACACACAUAUCCGAGCUUCCAAAUGUCAUCCUGCGCGUACCCGUCGUCUCUGGGAGAAGGCCGCAAGGAUGUGCUGAGCCCAACAGAACAACUCAUCUGUGACAUUUCCAGGGAUUAGCUCUGCCCCGACCCACAAGGAAACCAUCAGCCAAAUGUGGUGGUUUUGGACCUUGCUAUAUUCUGGAAUAUAAUCCAGCGAUACCGACC